GAAGAAGGAUAAAGAUUAAAAUCUCACAAAGAUUUCUCACAAAAGAGUCUCUACAUACACAAAUAAUCUCUCUCUUUCUUUCUAUACCUAAAGGAGACGCCAAUGGUCCCUUUGAAUAAACAUCAUAUGGAUGGGAGUUGAAUUCCUCUCUGAACUCAAAAAACAAAAUCCAUUAAAACAUAAAUUCUUAAUUAAAUAGGGUAAUGCUAG
This 210-nucleotide long non-coding RNA is filed under the name Elaeis guineensis (African oil palm). RNAcentral describes it as "long non-coding RNA (EGUI_LNC067461)". Lineage: Eukaryota; Viridiplantae; Streptophyta; Magnoliopsida; Arecales; Arecaceae. The record is from RNAcentral.